AGCAGUCGCCACGGGAAUACGUAGGUGGCAAGCGUUGUCCGGAAUUAUUGGGCGUAAAGGGCUCGCAGGCGGUUUCUUAAGUCUGAUGUGAAAGCCCCCGGCUCAACCGGGGAGGGUCAUUGGAAACUGGGAAACUUGAGUGCAGAAGAGGAGAGUGGAAUUCCACGUGUAGCGGUGAAAUGCGUAGAGAUGUGGAGGAACACCAGUGGCGAAGGCGACUCUCUGGUCUGUAACUGACGCUGAGGAGCGAAAGCGUGGGGAGCGAACAGGAUUAGAUACCCGCGUAGUCCCUGUCUCUUAUAC
This 303-nucleotide ribosomal RNA is filed under the name uncultured bacterium. Its description in RNAcentral is "partial 16S ribosomal RNA". It matches the Rfam family "Bacterial small subunit ribosomal RNA", at positions 507 to 807 of the family's 1533-position model. The record is from RNAcentral.